UUUAACGGCCGCGGUAUCCUAACCGUGCAAAGGUAGCGUAAUCACUUGUCUCCUAAAUAGAGACUAGUAUGAACGGCUAAAUGAGGGUAAGCCUGUCUCCUGCAACCUAUCAGUGAAACUGAUCUAUCUGUCCAAAAGCCGAUAUAUCAACAUAAGACGAGAAGACCCUGUGGAGCUUAAGACACACUCAGUAAUUAUACUACUAAUCUAUUGCAUUGUCUUAAGUUGGGGCGACUUCGGAAAAAAAUAAAACUUCCGAGCACAGAACCACCACCUCUUCCUGAGGCCAACGAGCCAAAGUACAAAUAUGACCCAGUCACACUGAUCAACGAACCAAGUUACCCCAGGGAUAACAGCGCUAUCUUCUUCAAGAGUCCAUAUCGACAAGAAGGUUUACGACCUCGAUGUUGGAUCAGGACACCCCAAUGGUGCAGCCGCUAUUAAAGGUUCGUUUGUUCAACGAUUAACAGUC
RNAcentral lists this ribosomal RNA (472 nucleotides) under Sphenomorphus sabanus. RNAcentral describes it as "partial 16S ribosomal RNA". It matches the Rfam family "Bacterial large subunit ribosomal RNA", at positions 1923 to 2595 of the family's 2925-position model. The record is from RNAcentral. Lineage: Eukaryota; Metazoa; Chordata; Lepidosauria; Squamata; Scincidae.